GAUUCGGAUGAGCAGGUGGGGCGGAGGCCGUCGCCGGCGCAGUUAGUCGCGUGACAGGCGUUGGCUGGCUCCACUUUGCUGUCCUCAAAAUGACUACAAACCUUGCUGAGUG
Molecule: small nucleolar RNA, 112 nt
Filed under: Drosophila ananassae
Lineage: Eukaryota; Metazoa; Arthropoda; Insecta; Diptera; Drosophilidae
Description: snoRNA:GF26041
Source: RNAcentral